CUCUACUGUGCACUUCAGCAGGGGAGAGGUAUGCUGUGGCUGCAGGGAGUUCAUGCUCUUCCAGCAAGUCAAGCUGGGGUCACCUUGAUUCCACCUCCAUCUCAGGACAAAAAGGGAGGUGCAUUAAGAUGAAAAUAUUAUUUUGUGGAAGUUUCAGUGUGUUGUCCUGGACUCAGUGCUGAAAAUACAGCAGUAAAACCAUUCCUCUCUCUGCACAUAACUUGGGCAAGGACUGGAUGCUUAAGGAAGAUAACAGAUUUGAUGAAGAAAUUCAGAAACACAAAACUGACAAAUGAAAUAAACAAGUUUAUCGUAUUUCCUGUAUGAAAGCAUAAAGAGGAAAGUUUCAAAGGAAACAACUUUCAAGUGACAGAACAUGUAAGAACAUGUGAUUUAAACAAGUUUACGAAGUGAUUUAAAUACAGGCUUUUAAGUUGGCUGGAUGAUCUCUACUCAGUUCUUUAAAGAUUCUGAACUGUUUUGUUCAAUGACAGAAAUGAUUUAACUUUAUUAAUAACUUUAUUAUGUUAGUUAAACAAACUGAAACAUAACGAAAUAGAUAAAAAGAAGAAAAAGAAAACCUCAACAACUUAAAUCCAUCAACACCCAGCAAAGA
Corvus hawaiiensis (hawaiian crow) is the source of this 616-nucleotide long non-coding RNA. RefSeq lists it as uncharacterized. NCBI's taxonomy places the organism in Eukaryota, Metazoa, Chordata, Aves, Passeriformes, Corvidae. The record is from RefSeq and is a predicted model, not a curated record. The transcript has 3 exons.